Molecule: ribosomal RNA, 292 nt
Filed under: uncultured bacterium
Lineage: Bacteria
Description: partial 16S ribosomal RNA
Source: RNAcentral
GGACUACAGGGGUAUCUAAUCCCGUUUGCUCCCCACGCUUUCACACCUCAGUGUCAGUACCUAGCUGGUUAAUUGUCUUCACCUUCGGCCGUCCUUCUGAUAUCGACACAUUUUAUCUCUACUCCAGAAGUUCGAUUAACCUGUUUGUGGUACUCAAGUUCAGAAUACUUUAAACCCCUCAGAGAAUUACUCUUAGCUUUCAGCUUAAAGAUUUAGAACCACCUACGUGUCCUGUACGCCCAGUCAUGUCGAAUAACACUCGCCCCCUCCGUUUUACCGCGGCUGCUGGCAC